This 496-nucleotide ribosomal RNA is filed under the name Granulicatella sp. canine oral taxon 095. Its description in RNAcentral is "bacterial SSU rRNA". It matches the Rfam family "Bacterial small subunit ribosomal RNA", at positions 9 to 486 of the family's 1533-position model. Lineage: Bacteria; Bacillati; Bacillota; Bacilli; Lactobacillales; Carnobacteriaceae. The record is from RNAcentral.
GAGUUUGAUUCUGGCUCAGGACGAACGCUGGCGGCGUGCCUAAUACAUGCAAGUCGAACGAACGGAGAAAGAAGCUUGCUUUUUUCAAAGUUAGUGGCGAACGGGUGAGUAACACGUGGGUAACCUGCCCAUCAGAGGGGGAUAACAUUCGGAAACGGAUGCUAAAACCGCAUAGGUUCCUUAGUUGCAUGACUGAGGAAGGAAAAGAGGCGUAAGCUUCUGCUGGUGGAUGGACCCGCGGUGCAUUAGCUAGUUGGUGAGGUAACGGCUCACCAAGGCGAUGAUGCAUAGCCGACCUGAGAGGGUGAUCGGCCACAUUGGGACUGAGACACGGCCCAAACUCCUACGGGAGGCAGCAGUAGGGAAUCUUCCGCAAUGGACGCAAGUCUGAUGGAGCAACGCCGCGUGAGUGAAGAAGGUUUUCGGAUCGUAAAACUCUGUUGUUAGAGAAGAAUAAGCAUAAUAGUAACUGAUUAUGCCGUGACGUUCNACCGAG